CAGGUUUACCUGUGUGACUGCGUACCUUUUGUAUAAUGGGUCAGCGACUUAUAUUCUGUAGCAAGGUUAACCGAAUAGGGGAGCCGGAGGGAAACCGAGUCUUAAUUGGGCGUUAAGUUGCAGGGUAUAGACCCGAAACCCGGUGAUCUAGCCAUGGGCAGGUUGAAGGUUGGGUAACACUAACUGGAGGACCGAACCGACUAAUGUUGAAAAAUUAGCGGAUGACCUGUGGCUGGGGGUGAAAGGCCAAUCAAACCGGGAGAUAGCUGGUUCUCCCCGAAAGCUAUUUAGGUAGCGCCUCGUGAAUUCAUCUCCGGGGGUAGAGCACUGUUUCGGCUAGGGGGCCAUCCCGGCUUACCAACCCGAUGCAAACUGCGAAUACCGGAGAAUGUUAUCACGGGAGACACACGGCGGGUGCUAACGUCCGUCGUGAAGAGGGAAACAACCCAGACCGCCAGCUAAGGUCCCAAAGUCAUGGUUAAGUGGGAAACGAUGUGGGAAGGCCCAGACAGCCAGGAUGUUGGCUUAGAAGCAGCCAUCAUUUAAAGAAAGCGUAAUAGCUCACUGGUCGAGUCGGCCUGCGCGGAAGAUGUAACGGGGCUAAACCAUGCACCGAAGCUGCGGCAGCGACACUGUGUGUUGUUGGGUAGGGGAGCGUUCUGUAAGCCUGCGAAGGUGGCCUGUGAGGGUUGCUGGAGGUAUCAGAAGUGCGAAUGCUGACAUAAGUAACGAUAAAGCGGGUGAAAAGCCCGCUCGCCGGAAGACCAAGGGUUCCUGUCCAACGUUAAUCGGGGCAGGGUGAGUCGACCCCUAAGGCGAGGCCGAAAGGCGUAGUCGAUGGGAAACGGGUUAAUAUUCCCGUACUUGGUGUUACUGCGAAGGGGGGACGGAGAAGGCUAUGUUGGCCGGGCGACGGUUGUCCCGGUUUAAGCGUGUAGGUGUGUGUUCCAGGUAAAUCCGGUUCACUUUAACACUGAGGCGUGACGACGAGGCACUACGGUGCUGAAGCAACAAAUGCCCUGCUUCCAGGAAAAGCCUCUAAGCAUCAGGUAACAUCAAAUCGUACCCCAAACCGACACAGGUGGUCAGGUAGAGAAUACCAAGGCGCUUGAGAGAACUCGGGUGAAGGAACUAGGCAAAAUGGUGCCGUAACUUCGGGAGAAGGCACGCUGACACGUAGGUGAAGUGAUUUACUCACGGAGCUGAAGUCAGUCGAAGAUACCAGCUGGCUGCAACUGUUUAUUAAAAACACAGCACUGUGCAAACACGAAAGUGGACGUAUACGGUGUGACGCCUGCCCGGUGCCGGAAGGUUAAUUGAUGGGGUCAGCGCAAGCGAAGCUCCUGAUCGAAGCCCCGGUAAACGGCGGCCGUAACUAUAACGGUCCUAAGGUAGCGAAAUUCCUUGUCGGGUAAGUUCCGACCUGCACGAAUGGCGUAAUGAUGGCCAGGCUGUCUCCACCCGAGACUCAGUGAAAUUGAACUCGCUGUGAAGAUGCAGUGUACCCGCGGCAAGACGGAAAGACCCCGUGAACCUUUACUAUAGCUUGACACUGAACAUUGAGCCUUGAUGUGUAGGAUAGGUGGGAGGCUUUGAAGUGUGGACGCCAGUCUGCAUGGAGCCGACCUUGAAAUACCACCCUUUAAUGUUUGAUGUUCUAACGUGGACCCGUAAUCCGGGUUGCGGACAGUGUCUGGUGGGUAGUUUGACUGGGGCGGUCUCCUCCUAAAGAGUAACGGAGGAGCACGAAGGUUGGCUAAUCCUGGUCGGACAUCAGGAGGUUAGUGCAAUGGCAUAAGCCAGCUUGACUGCGAGCGUGACGGCGCGAGCAGGUGCGAAAGCAGGUCAUAGUGAUCCGGUGGUUCUGAAUGGAAGGGCCAUCGCUCAACGGAUAAAAGGUACUCCGGGGAUAACAGGCUGAUACCGCCCAAGAGUUCAUAUCGACGGCGGUGUUUGGCACCUCGAUGUCGGCUCAUCACAUCCUGGGGCUGAAGUAGGUCCCAAGGGUAUGGCUGUUCGCCAUUUAAAGUGGUACGCGAGCUGGGUUUAGAACGUCGUGAGACAGUUCGGUCCCUAUCUGCCGUGGGCGCUGGAGAACUGAGGGGGGCUGCUCCUAGUACGAGAGGACCGGAGUGGACGCAUCACUGGUGUUCGGGUUGUCAUGCCAAUGGCACUGCCCGGUAGCUAAAUGCGGAAGAGAUAAGUGCUGAAAGCAUCUAAGCACGAAACUUGCCCCGA
Molecule: ribosomal RNA, 2238 nt
Filed under: Salmonella enterica subsp. enterica serovar Apeyeme
Lineage: Bacteria; Pseudomonadati; Pseudomonadota; Gammaproteobacteria; Enterobacterales; Enterobacteriaceae
Description: partial 23S ribosomal RNA
Rfam family: Bacterial large subunit ribosomal RNA
Source: RNAcentral